UACGAGAGGCCCAACCGUUAUUCGGAUUCACUGGGCUUAAAGAGUUCGUAGGCGGUCUAGAAAGUUGGGUGUGAAAGCCCUCGGCUCAACCGAGGAACUGCGCUCAAAACUACUAGACUUGAGGGAGAUAGAGGUGAGCGGAACUGAUGGUGGAGCGGUGAAAUGCGUUGAUAUCAUCAGGAACACCGGAGGCGAAGGCGGCUCACUGGGUCUCUACUGACGCUGAGGAACGAAAGCUAGGGGAGCAAACGGG
This 253-nucleotide ribosomal RNA is filed under the name uncultured bacterium. RNAcentral describes it as "partial 16S ribosomal RNA". It matches the Rfam family "Bacterial small subunit ribosomal RNA", at positions 524 to 776 of the family's 1533-position model. The record is from RNAcentral.